GGCGGAUGUAGCCAAGUGGAUCAAGGCAGUGGNUUUUGUAAAUCC
RNAcentral lists this transfer RNA (45 nucleotides) under Tetrastigma obtectum. RNAcentral's name for it is "partial tRNA-His". Lineage: Eukaryota; Viridiplantae; Streptophyta; Magnoliopsida; Vitales; Vitaceae. The record is from RNAcentral.